UCAAGCCAACAAGUGGCUAACUUGGAUAUAAUUCACUCGAUCUCGAGUCCACAAUAAUGUCAGUUUCCAAACUGCGUUCCGCAUUCAGACACUUGAUUGAAUGCGUUAACUUUUCCUAUAUGGUAGUAGAGCGCCUUGUAGGAACGUUGUCUCUUUAUGCCACACAGGUAGCACAAUUAUGUCACCUUCUAUUGCCAGGAGCAGAUGCUGUCUACAACAAGUAGACUUUGCGAUCCCAAAUGGGGAGUACAAGGUCUGGGGAGUCAAUUCAACCCCAAAACUAAAUAUGCAGCAUGGCAACAAUCCAUCUGCACCGAAGAGCGGAGAAACAUAAGGAUUCACCACCUGCAGCACGGCAACAAUCCCACCCUACAAAGGGUUGAGGGAGCAGAUCUCAAGCUAAGCAAGAAUAUCAACCAUCAACUAAAACCUUCGACGGAAGCUAAGCAUGUAUGCAGUCUCAACAAUAAUGAGUCAUGAGGGCAUUUUUUCCAUUGUAAAGUCUAAUGAGCUCGAAGGAGAUUCGAACUUCAUAACUUGAAAGAUUUGAAUGCGCAUAGCCUUCAUUAGUAAAGGAAUAUGAUAUGUCGUUGACAAGCGAAUCCAGACUAGUGCGCCUCACCAAGAUAGCUCAAAAGUUGUUGAUGCUACUCCUUCGAUGCCAUCAGACGUAGUCAAACAAGAUAAGUUGAAAGUCCUUUCCAUGCUAUUCAAUUCGGUUAAAGACAAUGUAAUCUAUCAUAUCGCUUUAAAAAUGGACCCUGCCGACUGCUGCCAUACCUUCUAUGAGCUCUAUGAGAGCAAAAAUAUGGCACAGACUAUGUACUUGUUUGACCAAUUACAGUCUUUACGGCUCGAGGAGUUACAAUCGAUGACAGACUAUAUCCGCUGCACAAGGGAGCUGACCUCACAACUCCAAGACAUUGGCGAGACCCUCUCAAAGGACCGCAUAGUGCACACUAUGCUUAAUGGCUUACCAUCUAAUUACAAAGCCUUCAUCUAAGGUCUUAUGGGCCAAAAUAACCUACCGUCGUUUGAAAAACUCUCCAGCAGUCUGUUGAUUGAAGAAAAAUGUCGCACCAUAAGGCCCUGCUAGCAUGGAGAGGCCAUGAUGUUCUACGGCAAAGGAGGGCACUUGCAACGGCGAUACAGCACUAGAUCAGAAUCAUCGCGAGUGCACUACAACUCGAACUCACUAGAUUCAAGCAACUCUAGUAACAAAUCCCGACCCAAAAGAAAUGGUUGAUGUAAUAAUUGUGGAGAAUGAAGACACUAGGCACGAGAGUGUCCCCGCCCCCAGCAUUAGAGAAAACCGCCACAUCAAAAACCAAUGGCGUUUUUUGCAUUGACAACAGACAAUAAGAAUAAGCACAAAGAAACACUUGAAGAAGAAGAAGAAGAAAUCCAAUUUUUUAACGUAUCUAUGCUUGCACUCAAUUUUGACAAGGAUAACUAGGCUUGAUACCUCAAUAGCGGCGCUUCAGUUCACGUGACAGGUAACUUGUCUCAUUUCCCAAACUUCACAACACUCUAUACAGCAACUAGUGUGCAUUUAAUCACACGAAACACACAUGAGGUAUACGAAGAAGGUAGCAUAAUGCUACAUCACGCAUGCGAAGUACAACAAGUCCAAAACACACUACACGUUCUAGGGACUAAAAAGAACUUAUUGAGCGUAGGGAUGUUAGCCGACAAAGGCUGCAUCGUUCUCUUCACCAACAAUGGCUUUUGGAUUCUAACAAACACAUUCCCAGCAAGGAUUAUAGCGGAGGGAGUGCGAGACAAAAUCAAUGGUCUCUACAGACUCACUCCAAUUGGCCGCACCUCACAACAUAUCCUGACGCUUCCACAGCAUCCAUUGAUUAUACAAGCACUAUCACUUUUCUUAUCAGCAGAAGCCGAAUUGUGGCACAAAUGAAUGGGCCAUAAAAACUACCGCACCUUUCACAACCUCUCCAAUUCAAUGAGCAUACGGGGCUUUUCUUACCUGGCAACAAUACACACAUUUUGCAAAG
RNAcentral lists this long non-coding RNA (2015 nucleotides) under Physcomitrium patens. Its description in RNAcentral is "long non-coding RNA (PPAT_LNC002907)". The record is from RNAcentral. Lineage: Eukaryota; Viridiplantae; Streptophyta; Bryopsida; Funariales; Funariaceae.